GUCUACGGCCAUACCACCCUGAACGCGCCCGAUCUGGUCUGAUCUCGGAAGCUAAGCAGGGUCGGGCCUGGUUAGUACUUGGAUGGGAAAAUAAAAAAAACAACUACGUGCACU
RNAcentral lists this ribosomal RNA (114 nucleotides) under Jaculus jaculus (lesser Egyptian jerboa). The record is from RNAcentral. Lineage: Eukaryota; Metazoa; Chordata; Mammalia; Rodentia; Dipodidae.